GUAGACCGCCUGGGGAGUACGGUCGCAAGACUAAAACUCAAAUGAAUUGACGGGGGCCCGCACAAGCGGUGGAGCAUGUGGUUUAAUUCGAUGCAACGCGAAGAACCUUACCUGGUCUUGACAUAGUAAGAACUUUCCAGAGAUGGAUUGGUGCCUUCGGGAACUUACAUACAGGUGCUGCAUGGCUGUCGUCAGCUCGUGUCGUGAGAUGUUGGGUUAAGUCCCGCAACGAGCGCAACCCUUUUCCUUAUUUGCCAGCGGGUUAAGCCGGGAACUUUAAGGAUACUGCCAGUGACAAACUGGAGGAAGGCGGGGACGACGUCAAGUCAUCAUGGCCCUUACGACCAGGGCUACACACGUGCUACAAUGGUCGGUACAAAGGGUUGCUACCACGCGAGUGGAUGCUAAUCUCAAAAAGCCGAUCGUAGUCCGGAUUGGAGUCUGCAACUCGACUCCAUGAAGUCGGAAUCGCUAGUAAUUGC
This 482-nucleotide ribosomal RNA is filed under the name uncultured bacterium. RNAcentral's name for it is "bacterial SSU rRNA". It matches the Rfam family "Bacterial small subunit ribosomal RNA", at positions 864 to 1345 of the family's 1533-position model. The record is from RNAcentral.